This 69-nucleotide transfer RNA is filed under the name Streptococcus agalactiae. RNAcentral describes it as "tRNA-Trp". The stretch from base 5 to 60 matches the Rfam family "tRNA", at positions 8 to 63 of the family's 71-position model. From Rfam's summary of the family: Transfer RNA (tRNA) molecules are approximately 80 nucleotides in length. Lineage: Bacteria; Bacillati; Bacillota; Bacilli; Lactobacillales; Streptococcaceae. The record is from RNAcentral.
GGCAUAGUUUAAAGGUAGAACUAAGGUCUCCAAAACCUUCAGUGUGGGUUCGAUUCCCAUCACUCGCCU